GACGAACGCUGGCGGCGCGCCUAACACAUGCAAGUCGAACGGAGUCAAGAGGAGCUUGCUUUUCUUGACUUAGUGGCGAACGGGUGAGUAACGCGUGAGUAACCUGCCCUGGAGUGGGGGACAACAGUUGGAAACGACUGCUAAUACCGCAUAAGCCCACGGAUCUGCAUGGAUCUGCGGGAAAAGGAUUUAUUCGCUCUAGGAUGGACUCGCGUCCAAUUAGCUAGUUGGUGAGGUAACGGCCCACCAAGGCGACGAUUGGUAGCCGGACUGAGAGGUUGAACGGCCACAUUGGGACUGAGACACGGCCCAGACUCCUACGGGAGGCAGCAGUGGGGGAUAUUGCACAAUGGGGGAAACCCUGAUGCAGCGACGCCGCGUGGAGGAAGAAGGUUUUCGGAUUGUAAACUCCUGUCGUUAGGGACGAUAAUGACGGUACCUAACAAGAAAGCACCGGCUAACUACGUG
RNAcentral lists this ribosomal RNA (468 nucleotides) under uncultured bacterium. RNAcentral describes it as "partial 16S ribosomal RNA". It matches the Rfam family "Bacterial small subunit ribosomal RNA", at positions 28 to 507 of the family's 1533-position model. The record is from RNAcentral.